RNAcentral lists this ribosomal RNA (522 nucleotides) under Bacillus sp. MBCC40107. Its description in RNAcentral is "bacterial SSU rRNA". It matches the Rfam family "Bacterial small subunit ribosomal RNA", at positions 53 to 554 of the family's 1533-position model. Lineage: Bacteria; Bacillati; Bacillota; Bacilli; Caryophanales; Bacillaceae. The record is from RNAcentral.
ACAUGCAAGUCGAGCGAAUGGAUUAAGAGCUUGCUCUUAUGAAGUUAGCGGCGGACGGGUGAGUAACACGUGGGUAACCUGCCCAUAAGACUGGGAUAACUCCGGGAAACCGGGGCUAAUACCGGAUAACAUUUUGAACCGCAUGGUUCGAAAUUGAAAGGCGGCUUCGGCUGUCACUUAUGGAUGGACCCGCGUCGCAUUAGCUAGUUGGUGAGGUAACGGCUCACCAAGGCAACGAUGCGUAGCCGACCUGAGAGGGUGAUCGGCCACACUGGGACUGAGACACGGCCCAGACUCCUACGGGAGGCAGCAGUAGGGAAUCUUCCGCAAUGGACGAAAGUCUGACGGAGCAACGCCGCGUGAGUGAUGAAGGCUUUCGGGUCGUAAAACUCUGUUGUUAGGGAAGAACAAGUGCUAGUUGAAUAAGCUGGCACCUUGAACGGUACCUAACCAGAAAGCCACGGCUAACUACGUGCCAGCAGCCGCGGUAAUACGUAGGUGGCAAGCGUUAUCCGGAAUUAU